RNAcentral lists this ribosomal RNA (988 nucleotides) under Hapalidiales sp. I_Twist-2019. RNAcentral's name for it is "SSU rRNA". It matches the Rfam family "Eukaryotic small subunit ribosomal RNA", at positions 780 to 1801 of the family's 1831-position model. The record is from RNAcentral. Lineage: Eukaryota; Rhodophyta; Florideophyceae; Hapalidiales.
AAGUGUUCAAAGCAGGCAUUUGUCGUGAAUACAUUAGCAUGGAAUAAUUGAAUAGGACUUGGUCUUAUUUUGUUGGUUUGUUAUGGCCGAGUAAUGAUUAAAAGGGACAGUUGGGGGCAUUUGUAUUCCAGAGCUAGAGGUGAAAUUCUUAGAUUUCUGGAAGACAAACCGCUGCGAAAGCGUCUGCCAAGGAUGUUUUCAUUGAUCAAGAACGAAAGUAAGGGGAUCGAAGACGAUCAGAUACCGUCGUAGUCUUUACUAUAAACGAUGAGGACUGGGGAUCGGGCGAGGAAUUGCGAUGACCCGCCCGGCACCCUCCGGGAAACCAAAGUGUUUGCUUUCUGGGGGGAGUAUGGUCGCAAGGUUGAAACUUAAAGGAAUUGACGGAAGGGCAUCACCGGGUGUGGAGCCUGCGGCUUAAUUUGACUCAACACGGGAAAACUUACCAGGUCAGGACAUAGUGAGGAUUGACAGAUUGAGAGCUCUUUCUUGAUUCUAUGGUUGGUGGUGCAUGGCCGUUYUUAGUUGGUGGAGUGAUUUGUCUGGUUAAUUCCGUUAACGAGCGAGACCUGGGCGUGCUAAAUAGGAGCUACUACCGUUUUUGGUAGUACGUUACUUCUUCUUAGACGGACUGCGGGCGUCUAGUCCGCGGAAGCUCCAGGCAAUAACAGGUCUGAGAUGCCCUUAGAUGUUCUGGGCCGCACGCGUGCUACACUGAGUGGAUCAGCGGGUCAGGUUGCACGAAAGUGUUUCCUAAUCUUGAAAUCCGCUCGUGAUGGGGAUUGAGGGUUGCAAUUUUCCCUCAUGAACGAGGAAUACCUUGUAAGCGUGGGUCAUCAUCCCGCGCUGAAUACGUCCCUGCCCUUUGUACACACCGCCCGUCGCUCCUACCGAUUGAGUGGUCCGGUGAGGCUUUGGGAUUGCAGCGGGAAGAGCGUUUCGCUCGUUCUGCCGCGAGAACUCAGUCGAACCUUAUCAUUUAGAGGAA